Molecule: ribosomal RNA, 216 nt
Filed under: uncultured bacterium
Lineage: Bacteria
Description: partial 16S ribosomal RNA
Rfam family: Bacterial small subunit ribosomal RNA
Source: RNAcentral
CUCAGUUCGGACUGUAGGCUGCAACUCGCCUACACGAAGCUGGAAUCGCUAGUAAUCGCGGAUCAGCACGCCGCGGUGAAUACGUUCCCGGGCCUUGUACACACCGCCCGUCACACCAUGAGAGUCUGUAACACCCAAAGCCGGUGGGGUAACCUUUAUAGGAGUCAGCCGUCUAAGGUAGGACAGAUGAUUAGGGUGAAGUCGUAACAAGGUAAC